RNAcentral lists this ribosomal RNA (468 nucleotides) under uncultured bacterium. Its description in RNAcentral is "partial 16S ribosomal RNA". It matches the Rfam family "Bacterial small subunit ribosomal RNA", at positions 28 to 507 of the family's 1533-position model. The record is from RNAcentral.
GAUGAACGCUGGCGGCGUGCUUAACACAUGCAAGUCGAACGGUGAAGGCGGAGCUUGCUCUGCUGGAUCAGUGGCGAACGGGUGAGUAACACAUGAGCAAUCUGCCCCUGACUCUGGGAUAAGCGCUGGAAACGGCGUCUAAUACUGGAUACGAGCUGCGAAGGCAUCUUCAGCAGCUGGAAAGAACUUCGGUCAGGGAUGAGCUCGCGGCCUAUCAGCUUGUUGGUGAGGUAACGGCUCACCAAGGCGUCGACGGGUAGCCGGCCUGAGAGGGUGACCGGCCACACUGGGACUGAGAUACGGCCCAGACUCCUACGGGAGGCAGCAGUGGGGAAUAUUGCACAAUGGGCGGAAGCCUGAUGCAGCAACGCCGCGUGAGGGACGACGGCCUUCGGGUUGUAAACCUCUUUUAGCAGGGAAGAAGCGAAAGUGACGGUACCUGCAGAAAAAGCGCCGGCUAACUACGUG